GUCGUUCGCUCGCCUAGCUAGAACGUUUGAAUUGCAUUCAAAAGGUAGUCGGUUCAAGUCCGAUCAGCUCCA
This 72-nucleotide transfer RNA is filed under the name Spirochaetaceae bacterium. Its description in RNAcentral is "tRNA-Ala". It matches the Rfam family "tRNA". Rfam says of the family: Transfer RNA (tRNA) molecules are approximately 80 nucleotides in length. Their secondary structure includes four short double-helical elements and three loops (D, anti-codon, and T loops). Lineage: Bacteria; Pseudomonadati; Spirochaetota; Spirochaetia; Spirochaetales; Spirochaetaceae. The record is from RNAcentral.